GCGCCUGUAGCUCAGCUGGAUAGAGCACUAGUCUUCGGAACUAGGUGCCGGAGGUUCGAAUCCUCCCAGGCGCG
Molecule: transfer RNA, 74 nt
Filed under: Candidatus Aceula lacicola
Lineage: Bacteria; Pseudomonadati; Candidatus Omnitrophota
Description: tRNA-Arg
Rfam family: tRNA
About the family: Transfer RNA (tRNA) molecules are approximately 80 nucleotides in length.
Source: RNAcentral